CAGUCGCCACGGGAAUACGAAGGGUGCAAGCGUUAAUCGGAAUUACUGGGCGUAAAGCGUGCGUAGGCGGUUUGUUAAGUCUGCUGUGAAAUCCCCGGGCUCAACCCGGGAAUGGCAGUGGAUACUGGCAAGCUAGAGUGUGUCAGAGGAUGGUGGAAUUCCCGGUGUAGCGGUGAAAUGCGUAGAGAUCGGGAGGAACAUCAGUGGCGAAGGCGGCCAUCUGGGACAACACUGACGCUGAGGCACGAAAGCGUGGGGAGCAAACAGGAUUAGAGACCCGCGUAGUCCCUGUCUCUUAUAC
This 301-nucleotide ribosomal RNA is filed under the name uncultured bacterium. Its description in RNAcentral is "partial 16S ribosomal RNA". It matches the Rfam family "Bacterial small subunit ribosomal RNA", at positions 509 to 807 of the family's 1533-position model. The record is from RNAcentral.